Molecule: long non-coding RNA, 1493 nt
Organism: Saccostrea cuccullata (small rock oyster)
Lineage: Eukaryota; Metazoa; Mollusca; Bivalvia; Ostreida; Ostreidae
Exons: 2
Source: RefSeq, a predicted model, not a curated record
UACCUAGUAGUGUAUCAGCCCUGAUACAGGCGUUUUGGACUAGGCGAGACAGCAUCUGGGAACUAGGGCUGUCUCGCCCUCGGGGCUGAGAUAUCUCUGUCUCGGCCCGUUGUCAAGAGGCUGUCUCGCCCUCAAAUUUUAAUUUGUUAAAUCUCUAAAAACUUUCUAUGUUUUUGCAAAAUUUUAUGUGGAAAAAAUAUAAAAAUGAAUAAAUCAUCUAUAACACCCAUUAACACUUUUUAAAAAUUUAAUUUUAACACAUAAAUUAGAGAAAACGUUUUUUUUAAAAACAGCACCAAACCGUAAUGCGUAUCUAAGCAAAGGGAGGUAACCCCAGCAACAACUCGUAUUUUAGAACAAUAGCACGUCAUUAAUUUAAAUUAAUCAACGUUAAUUAAAGAGAAAUAACGUAAACAUACAUGAUGGGGGAUGUAGAGGCAAUUACUCCAAAAAAUCCUGGCCCUAGCGGUGAUCGCGAUGUGCGUUAUGGAAAUUUUGAACUAGAAUCUCGUUUCAAAACAGUCUCUGAGAGUGAAAGGACAGAAUUUGUAAAAAGUAAACGAAACAAGAAUACGUCUAGGAAAACGGAUGGGCACAUGAAGGUUCUUUAUGACUGGCUGGAUAGUGUUUGUCAAGAGUCAAGGAAUAUUUACGAAAUACCACCAAAGGAACUUAACAUGUAUUUGGCGAGAUUCUUUCUCUCCGUGAGAAAACCAGACGGCGGCGAAUACGAGCCAGACACAUUACGAGGCUAUCUUGGAAGUUUCUCCCGAUACUUACGAGACAACAGUUAUGAUCACAAUAUUGUCGAAUCACAUCUAUUUGGACACGCAAGGGAAGUUCUUAUGUCCAAACGAUAAAGCCACAAAUCCCAGGGCCUCGGAAACAGAAAGAGAUAAGCUGAGCCACUUUCCACCGACGAAUUUCAGCGCCUCAUUCAGUCUAAUCAGUUGGGUAAAGGUAAGAAAAAAAACAUUCGAACUUACUUUAAACAAAUCCAGAAAAUAAUCCUCUUCUCGAACUCGAACGCUGAUGUUAUGUCAACAAAGUCCAAUAACUCUUAUUUAGUCGAUCCUAUUAAAUCAGAGAAUGUAAACGGACGGGUUUUGAAAUUCCGUAAAGUAAAUGUUUAAAAUAUCUUGAUUUUUUCUCUUUUACUAGCAAAUCCACAGUCACUGAUAAAUACCAUGUACAUAAACAACACCAUGCACUUUAGACUGAGAGGAAGACAUGAACAUGAAUAGAUGCUUUGGGGCGACAUUGAAUUAAAAACAGAUUCAACAGGGACAGAGUACCUGGAAUUCAAUGAGAGGGCAACAAAAACAAGGCACGGAAAUGGAGAGAGCAGACCAUUCCUUCCAAAGAUGUAUGAAAAAAGAGGAGACUCUAUGUGCCCUGUAAAUCUUUAUAAAGAAUUCACGCGACACAGGCCUUCGGAGAUGCUAGAGCCCGAAAGCAGAUUCUAUCUUUCCAUUAAACAAAAUCCUACGGAU